RNAcentral lists this transfer RNA (76 nucleotides) under Candidatus Babeliales bacterium. RNAcentral describes it as "tRNA-Lys". It matches the Rfam family "tRNA". From Rfam's summary of the family: Transfer RNA (tRNA) molecules are approximately 80 nucleotides in length. The record is from RNAcentral. Lineage: Bacteria; Candidatus Babeliae; Candidatus Babeliales.
GGGUUCUUAGCUCAAUUGGUAGAGCGCCAGACUCUUAAUCUGCAGGUUCAGGGUUCGAGUCCCUGAGGACCCACCA